GGCAUGCACUGCCUCCACGCAGCAACCCUCAGAGUCCUGAGCUGAACCAAGAAGGAGGAGGGGGUCGGGCCUCCGAGGAAGGCCUAGCCGCUGCUGCUGCCAGGAAUUCCAGGUUGGAGGGGCGGCAACCUCCUGCCAGCCUUCAGGCCACUCUCCUGUGCCUGCCAGAAGAGACAGAGCUUGAGGAGAGCUUGAGGAGAGCAGGAAACCUCCCCCGUUGCCCCUCUGGAUCCACUGCUUAAAUACGGACGAGGACAGGGCCCUGUCUCCUCAGCUUCAGGCACCACCACUGACCUGGGACAGUGAAU
This 308-nucleotide long non-coding RNA is filed under the name Homo sapiens (human). RNAcentral's name for it is "non-protein coding lnc-SERPINA11-1:1". The record is from RNAcentral. Lineage: Eukaryota; Metazoa; Chordata; Mammalia; Primates; Hominidae.